Molecule: long non-coding RNA, 1830 nt
Organism: Sebastes umbrosus (honeycomb rockfish)
Lineage: Eukaryota; Metazoa; Chordata; Actinopteri; Perciformes; Sebastidae
Exons: 6
Source: RefSeq, a predicted model, not a curated record
GUCUGGACCAUCUGCGGUGACAACAAGUGAAUAAGAGACACACAAGUGACAGCUUAUUCUGAAUUCUUUCUUCAGUGAGUUGGAACUCGUCGUACCUUCCUGGUGUGGCUGUAAAUCUUCUCCAUGAAGCGAGCCUUGUCUGUGUUUUGGGCCAACCAAGUGUCGCAGAAAGACUUGGAGAAGGAGACAGGAAAGUGCCUUCAGCUUCUUGGGGAAGGACGGGCUCAGUUGGACCGCGACGGCCAGGUUAGUGAGGGGCGCCGUGGCAACCAGACUCACCUGCACACAGAGCAACAGCUCCAGGCCUGGAGCGUCUGGAUCCGGGGAGUCACCCAGCCCGUCCUUCCCGUGGAAGUCUCCAGCGUGGCGUGUACGGUUCAGCAGUGGCCCUGAACAUCCUAUGUACACCGGGAUCUGUGGAGCAUUACAGCAGCUCCAGGCCUGGAGCGUCUGGAUCUGGGACGUCGCCCAGUCCGUCCUUCCCGUGGUAAUCUCCAGCGUGGCGCUUACGGGCCAUCAGGGGCUCUUUACAGCCACGGUACACCGGGAUCUGUGGAGUGGGAUAGAUUGGGUUUGUGUAAGGGUGUGUUGCCCAAUCCCUAAUCCCCCUAAAUCCAACCACUGAGUCACUAUCAAGCAUCAUCACAGACUUACAUCCAGACGGUUGCAGGCUUUCAGGACCCGCAGUGUGUUCCUGAGCACGUUAUCCAGGGGUGUGUUGCCAAAGCAGCAGGUGAUCCCCAAGAUCUCCACAUCGGGGGCCGCAAGGGCCACCAUGAGGGCCUGGGCAUCAUCCACCCCUAUGUCUGCGUCAAAGAUUAUCUUCUUCUUCAUCAUCCUACACAUCAUUCUACUUCAGCGAAUCCAUGAACAUCUGCUUGAGCUUCUCCAAGUCGACUUUCUUCAUGAUGAAGGCCUUGUGCUUCUUCUUCAGCAGCUCCAUGUAGUCCAGCACCAUCAUGCCUCGGGUGUUGGACCCCUCCAGCUCCACCGUCACUGCAACCUGGAGGAGGAAACAGGAGACGUUGUUGGCAGUUCCAGGCCUGGAGCGUCUGGAUCUGGGACGUCGCCCAGCCCGUCCUUCCCGUGGUAAUCUCCAGCGUGCCGCUUAUGGGCCAUCAGGGGAUCUUUACAGCCACGGUACACCGGGAUCUGUGGAGUAGGAUAGAUUGGGCUUGUGUAAGGGUGUGUUGCCCAUACGAACCCCCCUAAAUCCAACCAGUGAGUCACUAUCAAGCAUCACAACAGACUUACAUCCAUCCGGUCGCUGACUUUCAGGACCCGCAGUGCGUUCUUGAGCACGUUAUCCAGGGGUGUGUUGCCGUGGCAGCAGGUGAUCCCCAAAACCUCCACGUUGGGGGCGGCGAGGGCCAACAUGAGGGCCUGGGCAUCAUCCACCCCUAUGUCCACGUCAAGCCAAAGCUUCUUCUUCUCCAUACUACAGUACAUUCAACAACAAGAAAAGUGUCAUGCUGAAAGAUAAACAACAGCCAAAAGGGAUUUUUCACAACCUGGCAACCCAAAAGUUGUUCUUAUUGGCUAAAUUAGGAUGGCGGAGAGAACUGCCGUUCAAGAAAACACGCAAAUAGACAGAUUCAGACGUGUUGUGCAUCAUUAUGAAUUUGAUUUUAUUCAUUUAUCAUUAGGAUUUUUAACAAGAUAAUACAACUUGUUAUAGGUGCAGGUUCUACAGGUAGAAUUACAGAAUGUUUUGAGUCGUGCACGUACACACAGAAGCUCUGUCUGCUUGCGAUACGAUCCUUCCAGGAAGUAAAGUAUUCCUCAGAGGCCUUUUUUUAUGCCUGCAACAUUACAUGAGAUGGAAAAGUU